Molecule: transfer RNA, 77 nt
Filed under: Gammaproteobacteria bacterium
Lineage: Bacteria; Pseudomonadati; Pseudomonadota; Gammaproteobacteria
Also listed under: 1 other name
Description: tRNA-Arg
Rfam family: tRNA
About the family: Transfer RNA (tRNA) molecules are approximately 80 nucleotides in length. Their secondary structure includes four short double-helical elements and three loops (D, anti-codon, and T loops).
Source: RNAcentral
GCGCCCGUAGCUCAGCCGGAUAGAGCGCUGCCCUCCGGAGGCAGAGGUCAGAGGUUCGAAUCCUCUCGGGCGCGCCA